RNAcentral lists this ribosomal RNA (497 nucleotides) under uncultured bacterium. RNAcentral describes it as "partial 16S ribosomal RNA". It matches the Rfam family "Bacterial small subunit ribosomal RNA", at positions 28 to 507 of the family's 1533-position model. The record is from RNAcentral.
GAUGAACGCUGGCGGCGUGCCUAAUACAUGCAAGUCGAGCGAACAGACGAGGCGCUUGCUCCUCUGACGUUAGCGGCGGACGGGUGAGUAACACGUGGAUAACCUACCUAUAAGACUGGGAUAACUUCGGGAAACCGGAGCUAAUACCGGAUAAUAUAUUGAACCGCAUGGUUCAAUAGUGAAAGACGGUUUUGCUGUCACUUAUAGAUGGAUCCGCGCCGCAUUAGCUAGUUGGUAAGGUAACGGCUUACCAAGGCAACGAUGCGUAGCCGACCUGAGAGGGUGAUAGGCCACACUGGAACUGAGACACGGUCCAGACUCCUACGGGAGGCAGCAGUAGGGAAUCGUCCGCAAUGGGCGAAAGCAUGACGGAGCAACGCCGCGUGAGUGAUGUAGGUCUUCGGAUCGUAAAACUCUGUUAUUAGGGAAGAACAAAUGUGUAAGUAACUAUGCACGUCUUGACGGUACCUAAUCAGAAAGCCACGGCUAACUACGUG